UGUGCCUACGGGAGGCAGCAGUGAGGAAUAUUGGUCAAUGGGCGCAAGCCUGAACCAGCCAAGUCGCGUGAGGGAAGACGGCCCUACGGGUUGUAAACCUCUUUUGCCGGGGAGCAAGCCUGAGCACGUGUGCCCAGGCGGAGAGUGCUCGGAGAAAAAGCAUCGGCUAACUCCGUGCCAGCAGCCGCGGUAAUACGGAGGAUGCGAGCGUUAUCCGUAUUUAUUGGGUUUAAAGGGUGCGCAGGCGGGCUGUUAAGCCGGCGGUAAAAAUUCAGGGCUCAACCCUUUCGAUCC
This 294-nucleotide ribosomal RNA is filed under the name uncultured bacterium. Its description in RNAcentral is "partial 16S ribosomal RNA". It matches the Rfam family "Bacterial small subunit ribosomal RNA", at positions 334 to 624 of the family's 1533-position model. The record is from RNAcentral.